Molecule: ribosomal RNA, 492 nt
Filed under: uncultured bacterium
Lineage: Bacteria
Description: partial 16S ribosomal RNA
Rfam family: Bacterial small subunit ribosomal RNA
Source: RNAcentral
AGUGAACGCUGGCGGUAGGCCUAACACAUGCAAGUCGAACGGCAGCACAGUAAGAGCUUGCUCUUACGGGUGGCGAGUGGCGGACGGGUGAGGAAUACAUCGGAAUCUACUUUUUCGUGGGGGAUAACGUAGGGAAACUUACGCUAAUACCGCAUACGACCUACGGGUGAAAGCAGGGGAUCUUCGGACCUUGCGCGAUUGAAUGAGCCGAUGUCGGAUUAGCUAGUUGGCGGGGUAAAGGCCCACCAAGGCGACGAUCCGUAGCUGGUCUGAGAGGAUGAUCAGCAACACUGGAACUGAGACACGGUCCAGACUCCUACGGGAGGCAGCAGUGGGGAAUAUUGGACAAUGGGCGCAAGCCUGAUCCAGCCAUACCGCGUGGGUGAAGAAGGCCUUCGGGUUGUAAAGCCAUUUUGUUGGGAAAGAAAAGCAGCAGGUUAACACCCCGCUGUUCUGACGGUACCCAAAGAAUAAGCACCGGCUAACUUCGUG